UAGCUCUGGUUUCUCUUAAAUCACAUAUAAAUCUUUUGCCUUUUACUAAAGAUUUCCUUGGAGAGGAUCAUCCAUGGGUUUGAUGUAUUUUUGUGAGCUUUGCUCUGGCAAAGCU
Molecule: small nuclear RNA, 115 nt
Organism: Hemibagrus wyckioides
Lineage: Eukaryota; Metazoa; Chordata; Actinopteri; Siluriformes; Bagridae
Product: U5 spliceosomal RNA
Exons: 1
Source: RefSeq, a predicted model, not a curated record